RNAcentral lists this ribosomal RNA (416 nucleotides) under uncultured prokaryote. RNAcentral's name for it is "bacterial SSU rRNA". It matches the Rfam family "Bacterial small subunit ribosomal RNA", at positions 505 to 918 of the family's 1533-position model. The record is from RNAcentral.
GUGUCAGCCGCCGCGGUAAUACGAGUGGUGCUAACGUUAUUCGGAUUUACUGGGCGUAAAGGGUGCGUAGACGGCUUAGCAAGUCAACUGUUAAAUUUUCCGGCCUAACCGGAAAACUGCGGUAGAAACUGCUAUGCUAGAGGAUGGAAGAGAGAAGUGGAAUUCUCGGAGUAGCGGUAAAAUGCGUAGAUAUCGAGAGGAACACCGAUGGCGAAAGCAGCUUCUUGGUCCAAUCCUGACGUUGAGGCACGAAAGCGUGGGGAGCAAACAGGAUUAGAUACCCUGGUAGUCCACGCUGUAAACGAUGAUCACUAAACGUUAGCUUUGCUUUGCAAGGUUAGUGUUGUAGCUAACGCGUUAAGUGAUCCGCCUGGGGAUUACGGUCGCAAGACUAAAACUUAAAUGAAUUGACGGGG